Molecule: ribosomal RNA, 2063 nt
Filed under: Actinomycetota bacterium
Lineage: Bacteria; Bacillati; Actinomycetota
Description: partial 23S ribosomal RNA
Rfam family: Bacterial large subunit ribosomal RNA
Source: RNAcentral
GGUCAAGCUACUAAGAGCAUGCGGUGGAUGCCUUGGCGCCAAGAGCCGACGAAGGACGUGGCAGGCAGCGAAAUGCUUCGGGGAGUUGCGAGCAAGCGUUGAUCCGGAGAUAUCCGAAUGGGGAAACCCCCCAGGGGUAAUGCCCUGGGACGCACGGUUGAAUUCAUAGACCGUGACGAGGACACCGAGGGAACUGAAACAUCUAAGUACCUCGAGGAGCAGAGAACAUUCCGUGAGUAGUGGCGAGCGAAAGCGGAGGAGCCCAAACCGUGGCGGCGUGACAGGCUGCAGCCGUUGCCGUCGCGGUGUUGUAGGGCCGGCUUGCGGAGCGCUGCAGUGCCCGCAGAGAGUUACAAAUCGGUUCGCUAGCAGAAGCGGCCUGGAAAGGCCAGCCAUAGAGGGUGACAGCCCCGUACGCGAAAGCGAUCCGACUCUCGGCCGUGUCCCUGAGUACCGCGUGGAAGGUCUCUCAUGCGGGAACCCGGGCGGACCACCGUCCAAGGCUAAAUACUCUUGGCGACCGAUAGUGAACUAGUACCGUGAGGGAAAGGUGAAAAGCACCCCGGGAGGGGAGUGAAACAGUACCUGAAACCGCGUGCUUACAAGCAGUCAGAGGGUGUUGCCCGGAUCCUUCGGGAGCCGGGUAGCCUGAUGGCGUGCCUUUUGAAGAAUGAGCCGGCGAGUUACUCGCAGGUGGCGAGGUUAAGUCCGAGAAGGACGCAGCCGCAGCGAAAGCGAGUCUGAACAGGGCGUCAGAGUCGCCGCGAGUAGACCCGAAACCGAGUGACCUACCCAUGGGCAGGUUGAAGCGGGAGUAAUGUCCCGUGAAGGACCGAACCCACUAGCGUUGAAAAGCUAGGGGAUGACCUGUGGGUAGAGGUGAAAUGCCAAUCGAACUCGGAGAUAGCUGGUUCUCCCCGAAAUAGCUUUAGGGCUAGCCUCGGGGGUUCAGUCGUGAGGGUAGAGCACUGAAUGGGCUAGGGGGCUUCCCGCUUACCAACCCCAAUCAAACUCCGAAUCUCACGAUUCCAUACCCCGGGAGUCAGACUGCGAGGGCUAAGCUUCGUGGUCAAAAGGAAAACAGUCCGGACCGACAGCUAAGGUCCCAAAAUCCAGACUAAGUGGGGAAGGAUGUGGAGUUGCACAGACAACCAGGAUGUUGGCUCAGAAGCAGCCACCAUUUAAAGAGUGCGUAAUAGCUCACUGGUCAAGUGAUUCCGCGCCGAAGAUCCAACGGGGCUCAAGUCUGGUACCGAAGCUUCGGAUUGUCCUGGGCCUUCGGGCCCGGGUGCAGUGGUAGGGGAGCGUUCCGUCAGCAGUGAAGGUCGACCGUGAGGACGGCUGGAGCGGACGGAAGUGCGAAUGCCGGCAUGAGUAGCGAAAUGCGCGUGAGAAACGCGCACGCCGUAUGUCUAAGGUUUCCUGAGGAAGGUUAAUCCGCUCAGGGUUAGUCGGGCCUAAGCCGAGGGCGAAAGCCGUAGGCGAUGGACAAUCGGUUGAUAUUCCGAUACCGCCAGAGAUCGUUUGCACCGCAAGGUGCCUUGGUAGUGGAGGCUGGUGCGCUGAGGACGACUUCGGUCGUUCGAGGCAGCCAGUUUGAAGCGAUCAUGGGAGCGAGGGCGUGACCGGGAACGGUAGGUCGAGCGCACUUUGGCUAUGUGCGUCUAAGCCGGUAGGGGGAGAGGAUAGGCAAAUCCGUCCUCUCAUAACUCCGAGAAGCGAAUGAAAGGCGAAAGCUGAUUCGACUGAGCCGAUCCUGCAAGAAAAGCGUCUAGCGAGAUCAAAGGCGACCGUACCGCAAACCGACGCAGGUAGACGGGUAGAGCAUACCAAGGCGAUCGGAAGAACCCUCGUUAAGGAACUCGGCAAAUUGACCCCGUAACUUCGGGAGAAGGGGUGCCUCGCAGUGGCUCACUUGUGAGAGGCUGAUCGAGGCCGCAGUGAAAUGGCCCAGGCGACUGUUUAGCAAAAACACAGGUCUCUGCUAAAGCGAAAGCUGACGUAUAGGGGCUGACGCCUGCCCAGUGCCGGAAGGUUAAGAGGAGGGGUGCAAGCUCUGAAUC